CAUGGAGUUUGAUCCUGGCUCAGAUUGAACGCUGGCGGAAUGCUUUACACAAUGCAAGUCGAACGGUAGAGGGGGCAACCCCUCGAGAGUGGCGAAACGGGUGAGUAAUAUAUCGGAACGUGCCCAGUCGUGGGGGAUAACGUAGCGAAAGUUACGCUAAUACCGCAUACGAUCUAAGGAUGAAAGCGGGGAUCGCAAGACCUCGCGCGAUUGGAGCGGCCGAUAUCAGAUUAGGUAGUUGGUGGGUAAACGG
This 253-nucleotide ribosomal RNA is filed under the name uncultured Limnohabitans sp. Its description in RNAcentral is "partial 16S ribosomal RNA". It matches the Rfam family "Bacterial small subunit ribosomal RNA", at positions 1 to 263 of the family's 1533-position model. Lineage: Bacteria; Pseudomonadati; Pseudomonadota; Betaproteobacteria; Burkholderiales; Comamonadaceae. The record is from RNAcentral.